This is a non-coding RNA of Cinara cedri, 340 nucleotides long. NCBI's taxonomy places the organism in Eukaryota, Metazoa, Arthropoda, Insecta, Hemiptera, Aphididae. The record is from the annotation of a GenBank genome assembly.
AAUUAUUCUGUACUCAUAUAUUUUAAAGUCUAUUAUAAACCCAUUACUUAUGUGUAUAAUUUGUGAUUAUUUUUUAUAAGGCACAAUGCACAUUAAUAUACAAUGUAUGAAUUAAUUUACCUAUAAACCUAUUCAUAAUUUAUUCCCCGAAACGGUACGUUUAGCAGAAUAAACACUCGUCCAAACGGUACAUAACUGUUCGCCCAAACAGUAUACGCCUACUUUAUUUUUUUUUUCUGUUGAUUUUGGGAUUAUAGAGGAUAAAAGGUUUAUGGCAUUGCAUGGAAUAAAAAAAACAGGGUGCCCUCAGAGUUUACGGUAUAUUUAUAUACGGUACCUA